GGGGAUUUAGCUCAGCGGUGUAAGCACCUGCCUUGCAAGCGCGAGGUCGUGAGUUCAAUCCCCA
Molecule: transfer RNA, 64 nt
Organism: Cavia porcellus (domestic guinea pig)
Lineage: Eukaryota; Metazoa; Chordata; Mammalia; Rodentia; Caviidae
Rfam family: tRNA
About the family: Transfer RNA (tRNA) molecules are approximately 80 nucleotides in length. Their secondary structure includes four short double-helical elements and three loops (D, anti-codon, and T loops).
Source: Rfam